GUGAGGAAUAUUGGUCAAUGGCCGGAAGGCUGAACCAGCCAAGUCGCGUGAGGGAAUAAGGCCCUACGGGUCGUAAACCUCUUUUGCCAGGGAGCAAUGCCGUCCACGUGUGGACGGAAGGAGAGUACCUGGAGAAAAAGCAUCGGCUAACUCCGUGCCAGCAGCCGCGGUAAUACGGAGGAUGCGAGCGUUAUCCGGAUUUAUUGGGUUUAAAGGGUGCGUAGGCGGCCUGCCAAGUCAGCGGUAAAAUUGCGGGGCUCAACCCCGUACAGCCGUUGAAACUGCCGGGCUCGAGUGGGCGAGAAGUAUGCGGAAUGCGUGGUGUAGCGGUGAAAUGCAUAGAUAUCACGCAGAACCCCGAUUGCGAAGGCAGCAUACCGGCGCCCGACUGACGCUGAGGCACGAAAGUGCGGGGAUCAAACAGG
Molecule: ribosomal RNA, 425 nt
Filed under: uncultured bacterium
Lineage: Bacteria
Description: bacterial SSU rRNA
Rfam family: Bacterial small subunit ribosomal RNA
Source: RNAcentral